GAUGAACGCUAGCGGGAGGCCUAACACAUGCAAGCCGAGCGGUAUUUCUUCUUCGGGAGAGAGAGAGCGGCGUACGGGUGCGGAACACGUGUGCAACCUGCCUUUAUCUAGAGGAUAGCCUCUCGAAAGGAAGAUUAAUACUCUAUAAUAUAUUAAUUGGCAUCAAUUGAUAUUGAAAACUCCGGUGGAUAGAGAUGGGCACGCGCAAGAUUAGCUAGUUGGUGAGGUAACGGCUCACCAAGGCAAUGAUCUUUAGGGGGCCUGAGAGGGUGAUCCCCCACACUGGUACUGAGACACGGACCAGACUCCUACGGGAGGCAGCAGUGAGGAAUAUUGGUCAAUGGGUGCAAGCCUGAACCAGCCAUCCCGCGUGAAGGAUUAAGGUCCUAUGGAUUGUAAACUUCUUUUGUAUAGGGAUAAACCUACCCUCGUGAGGGUAGCUGAAGGUACUAUACGAAUAAGCACCGGCUGACUCCGUGCCAGCCGCCGCCGUAA
This 495-nucleotide ribosomal RNA is filed under the name uncultured bacterium. RNAcentral's name for it is "partial 16S ribosomal RNA". It matches the Rfam family "Bacterial small subunit ribosomal RNA", at positions 28 to 523 of the family's 1533-position model. The record is from RNAcentral.